RNAcentral lists this ribosomal RNA (254 nucleotides) under uncultured bacterium. RNAcentral's name for it is "partial 16S ribosomal RNA". It matches the Rfam family "Bacterial small subunit ribosomal RNA", at positions 524 to 776 of the family's 1533-position model. The record is from RNAcentral.
CACGUAGGGGGCAAGCGUUGUCCGGAUUCAUUGGGCGUAAAGAGCUCGUAGGCGGUUCGAUAAGUCGGGUGUGAAACCUCCAGGCUCAACCUGGAGACGCCACCCGAUACUGUCGUGACUAGAGUCCAGUAGGGGAGCGUGGAAUUCCUGGUGUAGCGGUGAAAUGCGCAGAUAUCAGGAGGAACACCGGUGGCGAAGGCGGUUCUCUGGGAAUAUCCUGACGCUGAGGAGCGAAAGUGUGGGGAGCGAACAGG